AUGCAUCAUGCCAACCUUCCCAUCUCAUCUCACCUAGCUCUCUCGAUCACAAUUCACAACCACCAUCAACCAGCCAAUCCAUCCAUCACAGCGUCCACCACGAUUCCCUGCCUACGCUUCCUCAUGGCGGCCGCCACCAACACCAAGCAGCAGCAGCAGCCGGCACCGAAGCCGGAGUUUGCCAACGGCGAGAAAGCCAAAACGCUGGUCGACCAGGAGAACCUGGCAGCGGGAGUGAUACAGGGCACCGAGGAAGUGAAAGCCAAAGCAGAAGCCGCUGCCACGGAAUCCAAAGCUGUGCUGGAGAAGAAGGCCACGGCGUGCAGCGGCUGGAAAGAGCAUGUGGCAGGGGGGCUGGAGCAGCUGACGGACAUGAAGUGGGCAGACAACGUGGUGGAGAAGGCAAGGAACAACAAGGAGGUGGUCGCCAUCGCCAUCGCUGCUUUCUCGCUCGGCUUCUUCGUCUCUCACAAGUUAUUCAGGAAGUGA
RNAcentral lists this ribosomal RNA (489 nucleotides) under Triticum aestivum (bread wheat). Its description in RNAcentral is "partial small subunit ribosomal RNA". Lineage: Eukaryota; Viridiplantae; Streptophyta; Magnoliopsida; Poales; Poaceae. The record is from RNAcentral.